Molecule: ribosomal RNA, 484 nt
Filed under: uncultured bacterium
Lineage: Bacteria
Description: partial 16S ribosomal RNA
Rfam family: Bacterial small subunit ribosomal RNA
Source: RNAcentral
AUUGAACGCUGGCGGCAGGCCCAACACAUGCAAGUCGAACGGAUGAAGGGAGCUUGCUCCUGGAUUCAGCGGCGGACGGGUGAGUAAUGCCUAGGAAUCUGCCUGGUAGUGGGGGAUAACGUCCGGAAACGGGCGCUAAUACCGCAUACGUCCUGAGGGAGAAAGUGGGGGAUCUUCGGACCUCACGCUAUCAGAUGAGCCUAGGUCGGAUUAGCUAGUUGGUGGGGUAAAGGCCUACCAAGGCGACGAUCCGUAACUGGUCUGAGAGGAUGAUCAGUCACACUGGAACUUGGACACGGUCCAGACUCCUACGGGAGGCAGCAGUGGGGAAUAUUGGACAAUGGGCGAAAGCCUGAUCCAGCCAUGCCGCGUGUGUGAAGAAGGUCUUCGGAUUGUAAAGCACUUUAAGUUGGGAGGAAGGGCAGUAAGUUAAUACCUUGCUGUUUUGACGUUACCAACAGAAUAAGCACCGGCUAACUUCGUG